GACGAACGCUGGCGGCGUGCUUAACACAUGCAAGUCGAACGGACCUUCUGAUCUUUUGGUUGGUUGGUUAGUGGCGAACGGGUGAGUAACACGUGAGUAACCUGCCCUUCUCUUCGGGAUAACUGUCGGAAACGGUGGCUAAUACCGGAUAUUCAUAUGCUGUCGCAUGGUGGUGUGUGGAAAGAUUUUUUGGUGGGGGAUGGACUCGCGGCCUAUCAGCUUGUUGGUGAGGUAGUGGCUUACCAAGGCUUUGACGGGUAGCCGGCCUGAGAGGGCGACCGGCCACACUGGGACUGAGAUACGGCCCAGACUCCUACGGGAGGCAGCAGUGGGGAAUAUUGCACAAUGGGCGGAAGCCUGAUGCAGCGACGCCGUGUGCGGGAUGACGGCCUUCGGGUUGUAAACCGCUUUCAACUGUGACGAAUUUGACGGUAGCAGUAGAAGAAGCACCGGCUAACUACGUGCCAGCAGCCGCCGUAA
Molecule: ribosomal RNA, 480 nt
Filed under: uncultured bacterium
Lineage: Bacteria
Description: partial 16S ribosomal RNA
Rfam family: Bacterial small subunit ribosomal RNA
Source: RNAcentral